Molecule: ribosomal RNA, 202 nt
Filed under: uncultured Mycoplasma sp.
Lineage: Bacteria; Bacillati; Mycoplasmatota; Mollicutes; Mycoplasmatales; Mycoplasmataceae
Description: partial 16S ribosomal RNA
Rfam family: Bacterial small subunit ribosomal RNA
Source: RNAcentral
UGGCUAAUGCCGGAUACGCAUGGAACCGCAUGGUUCCGUUGUGAAAGGCGCUGUAAGGCGCCACUAAAAGAUGAGGGUGCGGAACAUUAGUUAGUUGGUGAGGUAAUGGCCCACCAAGACUAUGAUGUUUAGCCGGGUCGAGAGACUGAACGGCCACAUUGGGACUGAGAUACGGCCCAAACUCCUACGGGAGGCAGCAGCC